CUGUCAAGCUCUUAUAUGGUGCAUUAGCAAACGGUACAUAGUCACGACUCUUAGGCCAAGGAAACGGAGUAACAUAGCCCUUGGGUGCCGGAAUUAGGCAAUGUAGCUUCUCUUCCUCCAUAGGACAAUGCCUCUCUCGAUAAAUCAUAUUUUCCCUAGGAAAAGUCAUAGCACGCCUCUGAUCUUGGCAGGGUGUGUAAUCAGUGUAACCCGGAUCACAAGGCUUGAACUCUUUAGGUUUUGAUUCAGAAUCAUUUAGAGUCUCAAUUUCACCACCAUGAUGGGUCUCAAAA
This 293-nucleotide unclassified non-coding RNA is filed under the name Hevea brasiliensis (rubber tree). Lineage: Eukaryota; Viridiplantae; Streptophyta; Magnoliopsida; Malpighiales; Euphorbiaceae. The record is from RNAcentral.